UUUUAACCCUAGAUUAGAAGUGGUGGUUUCGAAAAUCACUUCUAACCCUAUCUGGCCGUCACUCACCCUUCUCAUCUCUGCAACCCUAACUCCCUCUCCCAACAAUGCCGCUGUCUCCCUCUCUCAACCCGUCACAACCCCUCCCUCCAACCCGCCGCAGCAUCUACAUCCAUCCCUCCCUCGUCGCUCAUGCCCCACGCUGCCAUCUCCCUCUCUCACGAGUGGCGCCAACCAUCAGCGCAACUCGUCAGCACCACUCGUCAGGGGCAACCCGUCAGCGCCAACCGUCAUUCUGCUAGUGCCAACGUCUCUGGUAUUUAUAGGAAACGAUCGAUGGCGUCUCCGUCGAGCUUGGCAUCGGAUGCAUCGUUGGCAUCAGCGGUAAAGAUUCGAUUCAUGGUUUAGGGUUUCUCUGAAGUCGCUGCUUGAAAGGUUCGAUUCCUUGCCCUUCGUCUUGCUUGAAACCAUCGUGAAGGAUUGCGAGAAGGAUUUCUCUGAAGUCGUUGCUGAGAGGGUUCUUGAUGAUAUGGUUAGGUUAAUUGACGAUCCUCAAACCGUUUUAAUAACCGCAACAAGGCGUUAAUCAUGAUUGAGGCUUGAGGCGAAUCCACCAUCGAGCUUCACUAUCUCCCUGUUUAUGAAGAAACUUACAAGAGUCUGAAAUCAAGGGGUAUUCGGUUCCCUGGCCGUCACAACGAGAGCUUGGCGCCUAUUUUCACUCCUCCGCGUUCGGUGUCUGAGGUUGAACUUGAUCUUCCACGCUAGACUCAGCAUGAUGAUAUUCCUGUGCAGAGUUUUACUCCUGAACAAACUAAGGAAGCUUUUGAUGUUGCUAGAAACAGCAUUGAGCUUCUUUCUAUUGUGUUGUCUUCUCCACAACAAGAUGUCUUGCAGGUAGAUUUUAUAUAUUUAGUUUGGUGUAAUAUUUGUUAGUAUAUAUAGAAAUAUGCGUGAUAGUGGAAGCAUAUGUGCACACAGCAGGGUCCAAAUUAAUUAAAGGUUCCACUAUGGAAUUAGGUGUCUCUUGUACCUGGGUGAGUGAACAAACUCAGCUUUCAUUCAUGUGCCUUGUUCAAAAUGUGAUUUUUUUUUACGCUAUGGAAGCUUUAUAAUGUGCCUACAUGAUUGCAUAGUUUCUGUUUUAUGAGGCUGUGUCUGUGUCUGUGUUCUUUUUGUCGGUGGCUUUUUCUUUCUAUUGAUUGGAACUCAUUUUUUCUCUUUUUUUUGGUGUGUCUUUCUCUGUUUGUUCUUGAUUCAUGCGUAGUAAUUGAAUUGUUCAUUAGAGACUAUUAAUACCAAAUUGUAAUUGUCUCAAUAUGUGACUCACACUACUGUUUUGUGAUUAAAUUUAAUCUUAGUAAUUCUUAUCUGAUUGAUUACUAUGGAUUAAUUUGGUUGUUGGAGAAAUAUUAGGUGUUAAUUCUAGACAUUUCACAUUAGAUUAUUUUGAGAGUGAAGUGUUUAUUGGUUGACUUUAUCUCUGUAGAGUGCAUGGCUGUAAAAGAUUGCUCUUUUUUCCUAUCAACAAGGAUGUCUGGGUGUGUUCCAUUUGAUUUUACUCAUGUCUUAUUUUUUCAAUUUUCUCAUAGAUUCAUAAAAAAAAUGUCACUUUUCUCAUAGAUUUCAUAUCUGAAGACUGUCCCUGCUAAUGCUUCAGGUUUUCAGGUAAAGAGUGUUGGUGUUCUGAUCUAGCUUGGUACCAAAUCCAACGCUUAUGAGGUGGAGCUCGACAUGGAUGAGGUGUUUGCCUAGAUUACCUUGCUUCCAGGAAGGUUUGGUGACUACUGAAUGCUGACUGCUGAAAAUGUACCUGCCAUGUUAUAAUUGUGGAGGUGCAGGCUCAUGUGGGUUACAAGGAUUUGCGCCAGAUGGAUCCUCUUCUCUUUUGGUGGUUAGGUGAGGAAAAGGAGCAAAUGGCUCAGAUCUUGUUGCAGUUCUCAUGUAUACAGGUUACUGUUGCCCAACAGCUUCUCCACCUCCAACAGCUAUACAAGAGUUGUGUGCAACCAUUCGUGUUCUACAAAUUAGUCCGGAUGUUGUUUAGGAAUUAGAUUGGAUUUUUUCUAAUUUAGAUUUGUAAUUUUUUUAAAUGUGUAUUUUGGAAGUUGAAUUUAUUUUUUCUUAAAUGUUUUAUUCAUGUUUUAUCAUGUACAUAGUUCAUAUAAAUCAA
Long non-coding RNA from Arachis stenosperma, 2170 nucleotides. RefSeq lists it as uncharacterized. The transcript is spliced from 7 exons. NCBI's taxonomy places the organism in Eukaryota, Viridiplantae, Streptophyta, Magnoliopsida, Fabales, Fabaceae. The record is from RefSeq and is a predicted model, not a curated record.